This 501-nucleotide long non-coding RNA is filed under the name Gossypium barbadense (sea-island cotton). RNAcentral describes it as "long non-coding RNA (GBAR_LNC006621)". The record is from RNAcentral. Lineage: Eukaryota; Viridiplantae; Streptophyta; Magnoliopsida; Malvales; Malvaceae.
AUGUAUUUGGGGAAACGCUACUAUCAUAAUUACCCCCAUUUAUUGAAACUCAAUUUCCAUUACUUUCCUCGGAAAUUCAAAAGAGCUUCUAUCUUCCUUUAUGCAAAGUUUCUUUCCAAAACCGUCCUGAAACACACCCAGCGUUUCAACUUCUCAAGAAUCCGUCCAUCGCUGAUCCUUAGACAGAGCUUCCUUCACUCCAGCAGUAAACAACGACAGCAGAUAAGUCGUUUCUCCCCUCAGUAAACCCUCUUUUGCAAGAAGAUGAGCAAUGUUGUUUUCCGCUCUGGGCAUAAAUCGAAAAUCACAGGAUUCAAAACCCAUGCUCAGAUGCUUUGAAUCAUUUAUGAAAACUUCAAUUUCUAACCUGUCUUCAUCUCGCUUUUGCAGUUUAUGGAUUACUGUUUGAGAGUCACCUUCAACCACUACCUUACUCAGACCUUGAUGUAACCCGAGUUGAAUCGCCUGAACACACGCCACCGCUUCAGCAGCAAAAGCAGA